CAAUAGCGUAUAUUUAAGUUGUUGCAGUUAAAAAGCUCGUAGUUGGAUUUCGGAUGGGAUUUGCCGGUCCGUCGUUACGAUGUGCACUGGCCAGUCCUAUCUUGUUGUCGGGGACUAGCUCCUUGGAUUCACUUCCUGGGACUAGGAGCUGACGAGGUUACUUUGAGUAAAUUAGAGUGUUCAAAGCAAGCCUACGCUCUGAAUACAUUAGCAUGGAAUAACACGAUAGGACUCUGGCUUAUCUUGUUGGUCUGUGAGACCAGAGUAAUGAUUAAGAGGGACAGUCGGGGACAUUCGUAUUUCAUUGUCAGAGGUGAAAUUCUUGGAUUUAUGCAAGACAAACAGCUGCGAAAGCGUCUGCCAAGGAUGUUUUCAUUAA
This 379-nucleotide ribosomal RNA is filed under the name uncultured eukaryote. Its description in RNAcentral is "partial 18S ribosomal RNA". It matches the Rfam family "Eukaryotic small subunit ribosomal RNA", at positions 592 to 976 of the family's 1831-position model. The record is from RNAcentral.